AUUGAACGCUGGCGGCAGGCCUAACACAUGCAAGUCGAGCGGAUGAAGGGAGCUUGCUCCUGGAUUCAGCGGCGGACGGGUGAGUAAUGCCUAGGAAUCUGCCUGGUAGUGGGGGAUAACGUCCGGAAACGGGCGCUAAUACCGCAUACGUCCUGAGGGAGAAAGUGGGGGAUCUUCGGACCUCACGCUAUCAGAUGAGCCUAGGUCGGAUUAGCUAGUUGGUGGGGUAAAGGCCUACCAAGGCGACGAUCCGUAACUGGUCUGAGAGGAUGAUCAGUCACACUGGAACUGAGACACGGUCCAGACUCCUACGGGAGGCAGCAGUGGGGAAUAUUGGACAAUGGGCGAAAGCCUGAUCCAGCCAUGCCGCGUGUAUGAAGAAGGUCUUCGGAUUGUAAAGCACUUUAAGUUGGGAGGAAGGGCAGUAAGUUAAUACCUUGCGGUUUUGACGUUACCAACAGAAUAAGCACCGGCUAACUUCGUG
Molecule: ribosomal RNA, 484 nt
Filed under: uncultured bacterium
Lineage: Bacteria
Description: partial 16S ribosomal RNA
Rfam family: Bacterial small subunit ribosomal RNA
Source: RNAcentral